This 303-nucleotide long non-coding RNA is filed under the name Mustela putorius furo (domestic ferret). Its description in RNAcentral is "lncRNA (ENSMPUG00000024339.1)". Lineage: Eukaryota; Metazoa; Chordata; Mammalia; Carnivora; Mustelidae. The record is from RNAcentral.
GUUCAUUUCAAUACAGAUAGAAAAAUCAAAUAAGUGAACUCGGUUUUGAAAACAUUUUCAUUAUUGGGGAUUUUUCGUCACCACAGGAUUGAGCUUGUGGAAGUAUUUGAGUAAGCUACAUGGAGAAAAUCUAAUUUGUUUACACUGAAGUCAAGUUUCUCUAAAACAGACGGUGGGGACAUGGGUUCUCCACUCUCUGAGAUUCUCUUAGGCUUAAUUCAACAUCAGCCAGGAAGAUGCUUAUGUGAAAUGUGUUCUAGAUGCUCACCGGAAGUAAGUGAAUUCCUCAAAUCAUGCCAAUCA